CCUAGGGGAGGCAUCAGUGGGGAAUCGUGGACAAGGGGCGAAAGGCUGACGCAACGACGCCGCGUGUGGGAUGAAGCAUUUCUGUGUGUAAACCACUGUUGCCCGGGAAGAACAGCCUUUUUCCAGAGGUCUGACUGUACCGGGUGAGGAAGCACCGGCUAACUCCGUGCCAGCAGCCGCGGUAAUACGGACGGUGCGAGCGUUGUCCGGAAUCAUUGGGCGUAAAGGGCGCGUAGGUGGCCUGCUAAGCGUGCGGUGAAAGCUCGGGGCUCAACCCCGAGUCGGCCGUGCGAACUGGUGGGCUUGAGCACUGUAGAGGCAGGCUGAAUUCCGGGUGUAGCGGUGGAAUGCGUACAGAUCCGGAAGAACACCGGUGGCGAAGGCGGCCUGCUGGGCAGUACCUGACACUGAGGCGCGACAGCGUGGGGAGCAAACAGGAUUAGAUACCCUGGUAGUCCACGCCGUAAACGAUGGGCACUAGGCGCUUGGGGGAGCGACCCCCCGAGGGCCGGCGCUAACACAUUAACUGCCCCGCCUGGGGAGUACGGCCGCAAGGCUGAAACUCAAAGGAAUUGACGGGGGCCCGCACAAGCGGUGGGUCAUGUGGUUUAAUUCCACGCAACGCGAGAACAUUACCUAGGCUUGACAUACACGGGAUAGCUCUCACACAAGGGGGCCUCUCUUCUGAGCCCGUGCACACGUGCUGCAUGUCUGUCGUCCCUCGUGUUUGAGAUGUUGGGUUAAUUCCCGCAACGACCCAACCCCUGUCCUUACUUGCACCGAGUCAGUCGGAGACUCUACGGAGACUGCCUGUGUCAACCCAAGAAGGUGGGGACACGUCCAGUCAUCAUGGCCCUUACUCUAGGGUUCACACAUGCUACAUUGAUGGG
RNAcentral lists this ribosomal RNA (890 nucleotides) under uncultured bacterium. RNAcentral's name for it is "bacterial SSU rRNA". It matches the Rfam family "Bacterial small subunit ribosomal RNA", at positions 338 to 1237 of the family's 1533-position model. The record is from RNAcentral.